Molecule: ribosomal RNA, 468 nt
Filed under: uncultured bacterium
Lineage: Bacteria
Description: partial 16S ribosomal RNA
Rfam family: Bacterial small subunit ribosomal RNA
Source: RNAcentral
GACGAACGCUGGCGGCGUGCUUAACACAUGCAAGUCGAACGGAAAGGCCCUGCUUUUGUGGGGUGCUCGAGUGGCGAACGGGUGAGUAACACGUGAGUAACCUGCCCUUGACUUUGGGAUAACUUCAGGAAACUGGGGCUAAUACCGGAUAGGAGCUCCUGCCGCAUGGUGGGGGUUGGAAAGUUUCGGCGGUUGGGGAUGGACUCGCGGCUUAUCAGCUUGUUGGUGGGGUAGUGGCUUACCAAGGCUUUGACGGGUAGCCGGCCUGAGAGGGUGACCGGCCACAUUGGGACUGAGAUACGGCCCAGACUCCUACGGGAGGCAGCAGUGGGGAAUAUUGCACAAUGGGCGGAAGCCUGAUGCAGCAACGCCGCGUGCGGGAUGACGGCCUUCGGGUUGUAAACCGCUUUCGCCUGUGACGAAGCGUGAGUGACGGUAAUGGGUAAAGAAGCACCGGCUAACUACGUG